Molecule: ribosomal RNA, 476 nt
Filed under: Fusarium oxysporum f. sp. lycopersici
Lineage: Eukaryota; Fungi; Ascomycota; Sordariomycetes; Hypocreales; Nectriaceae
Description: eukaryotic LSU rRNA
Rfam family: 5.8S ribosomal RNA (bases 130-283)
Source: RNAcentral
AACCCCUGUGACAUACCACUUGUUGCCUCGGCGGAUCAGCCCGCUCCCGGUAAAACGGGACGGCCCGCCAGAGGACCCCUAAACUCUGUUUCUAUAUGUAACUUCUGAGUAAAACCAUAAAUAAAUCAAAACUUUCAACAACGGAUCUCUUGGUUCUGGCAUCGAUGAAGAACGCAGCAAAAUGCGAUAAGUAAUGUGAAUUGCAGAAUUCAGUGAAUCAUCGAAUCUUUGAACGCACAUUGCGCCCGCCAGUAUUCUGGCGGGCAUGCCUGUUCGAGCGUCAUUUCAACCCUCAAGCACAGCUUGGUGUUGGGACUCGCGUUAAUUCGCGUUCCUCAAAUUGAUUGGCGGUCACGUCGAGCUUCCAUAGCGUAGUAGUAAAACCCUCGUUACUGGUAAUCGUCGCGGCCACGCCGUUAAACCCCAACUUCUGAAUGUUGACCUCGGAUCAGGUAGGAAUACCCGCUGAACUUAAG